CUGCUGAGAAAAGAUCAAUGGCAUGUGAAGCAGUCCAAGUGUGCAUUUGGCCAGCAACAGAUUGCUUAUUUAGGCCAUGUCAUCAACGCUGAUGGUGUUUCCACAUAUCCCAGUAAGAUAGGCAUGAUCAAGCAGUGGCCGACUCCGGGGAGUGUGAAGGAAGUGCGCAGUUUUCUAGGUUUAGUGGGCUACUACCGGAAGUUUGUGAAACAUUUCGGUAUCAUCGCACGCCUCCUUUUCAAUCUUCUCAAAAAAGGGCGCCCAUUUGUCUGGACAGACGAAACACAAACAACUUUCCAUCUGCUCAAAUAA
Molecule: ribosomal RNA, 312 nt
Filed under: Triticum aestivum (bread wheat)
Lineage: Eukaryota; Viridiplantae; Streptophyta; Magnoliopsida; Poales; Poaceae
Description: partial small subunit ribosomal RNA
Source: RNAcentral